This is a non-coding RNA of Danio rerio (zebrafish), 580 nucleotides long. Lineage: Eukaryota; Metazoa; Chordata; Actinopteri; Cypriniformes; Danionidae. The record is from RefSeq and is a predicted model, not a curated record.
UGGUGAAUCAAAUGCUCAAACAGACAUCGCAAAUGAUAAAUCAAAUGCAAAUGAGGUGUCAAUCAACCAGCAUAGGCGGAGCUUUAAGGCGGAAGAGUUUGUUGUUGACAACAACCGGUAGCGCUACGACUUUUUCAAGGCGUUCAGAUUUGCGUGCACUAUUCCACGUCGUAUCCAUAUAAACUCGUGAAAGAGAAAGCGAGAAAUCUCCUAAUGCUUCUGUCCACAUUCUGAAGUGUUCAUCAGAUGGGUACAUCUAUCACAGGAGGCCACGAAAAACCAUACGAUAACCAAGAUGAUAAAAAAGUUACAUAACUGACGUUACAAGCGCAACUUUAAAUAAAUGCCUUUCUAAUGUUGGCACAUUGGUACAUCUGCACAAAGAUGUCGGACAGCUGCUUGAAGAUCUUCCUUUGGAGAAAUUUUACACUCGAAAAAUACAAAACCCCAUGUUCUGCUGCAUGCUGGACUUCUGGACUUCACUUGUUUUUGCCAUCACAUCCCUCAGUGCUGCAGUCAGACUGGAACAGAGUUGUGAGGUGAGGCUGUCCAUGCCUGAGAAACCGAUUCAUACUGAAGA